AUAGAGAGAGAGAUGGUGAGUGCCAGACCUCCGUUAUUUUCUAAAAGCUGACAGUUUAUCUGCGUAUUGUCACCAACACAGGGAGGAACGAUCAGCGCCUAUGAAGUUUG
Maniola jurtina (meadow brown) is the source of this 110-nucleotide long non-coding RNA. RefSeq lists it as uncharacterized. Lineage: Eukaryota; Metazoa; Arthropoda; Insecta; Lepidoptera; Nymphalidae. The record is from RefSeq and is a predicted model, not a curated record. The transcript has 3 exons.